AUGCAAUUAUGUAUAGCUAAUGUGAUUGCAAAGUGCACAUCUUACCUUUUUUAUCAGCGCCCUACAUCUCCUCACUUAUGUGUGGCAGCUUGCUCCAUGGAUCUCCAGCUAUAUCUCCACAAGCCGAGUACUGAACUUGACAUAACCGGUCUGGUAGAACUGCUUACAAGCCAGAUUGACAGAACCAUUUUUAUCUGCAAGGCAGGCUGGCAGAGAAAACCAGUAGACCAACACUACAGAAGAGCUGGAGCAUUUUACAAGAUUUCCAAGCGAUUGUGCCGUUUCCAGCAAUUACUGCACUGCACAGUCUAUAUGUAA
RNAcentral lists this ribosomal RNA (318 nucleotides) under Triticum aestivum (bread wheat). RNAcentral describes it as "partial small subunit ribosomal RNA". The record is from RNAcentral. Lineage: Eukaryota; Viridiplantae; Streptophyta; Magnoliopsida; Poales; Poaceae.